GACAUGUCCUUGGAACAUCAGAUAAGAAAUGGAACUUGUUUUGAAAUUACUUCCAUGGAAUUAAAAAACAAAAAGAAACUUACACCAAAACUGCCAAGAAUGAAUUUUCCAUGUUAGCAACAGGAGUGCUUUAUAAACUUGUUAUCAGUGAUGCUUUUGACAUAUGCUGGAGGCCAGAAUCAAUGUCUAAGGGAUCCUCCACAUAAUUCUUACUCUGCUUUAAAAAAAAAAUAAAGCUUUAAAACCACACCCAUUUAUUCCAAUUUUUCUGGGCCCAAUAUGGGCCAAGUCAUCCCAGAAAUAAAGCAGCUUUGACUGUCUUUCUUUCCUGAUGGACUUGGGAAGCAGGAGGGAGGCUCUAUGUCACCACAGCAAGUAUAAGAGGCUAUACCUGCUGUUCUCUGUGACCUGCUUCUGCAAACCUGGGAUCCUGCAAUUCACAAGUGAAUGUGCUUUGUGUAUAGUUCCCCUGGGGCAUUAAAUCACUCGCUCCAAGGAGCUACUCUUUAGAUGAAAAACAGAAACAUAUAGUGGGCUUCACUCAGCUGAUGAAAUUGCUGUUGCUGCUUCAUCAUAGGGAAAUGAUUUCUGGGCUUAUGGAGUUAAGCCCCUUCCCCCUAUUUCACUAUCAGAAGAUAUAUCCUUGGCAUGUCUGACCACAAACUCAAGUUAUUUUGCAGAUUGCUUUUGUAGGAUUAAAACACCACCACCACCACCACGAACUGGC
This 727-nucleotide long non-coding RNA is filed under the name Marmota monax (woodchuck). The record is from RNAcentral. Lineage: Eukaryota; Metazoa; Chordata; Mammalia; Rodentia; Sciuridae.